GACGAACGCUGGCGGCGUGCUUAACACAUGCAAGUCGAACGGAAAGGCCCUGCUUUUGUGGGGUGCUCGAGUGGCGAACGGGUGAGUAACACGUGAGUAACCUGCCCUUGACUUUGGGAUAACUUCAGGAAACUGGGGCUAAUACCGGAUAGGAGCUCCUGCUGCAUGGUGGGGGUUGGAAAGUUUCGGCGGUUGGGGAUGGACUCGCGGCUUAUCAGCUUGUUGGUGGGGUAGUGGCUUACCAAGGCUUUGACGGGUAGCCGGCCUGAGAGGGUGACCGGCCACAUUGGGACUGAGAUACGGCCCAGACUCCUACGGGAGGCAGCAGGGGGGAAUAUUGCACAAUGGGCGGAAGCCUGAUGCAGCAACGCCGCGUGCGGGAUGACGGCCUUCGGGUUGUAAACCGCUUUCAGCAGGGGCGAAGCUUGUGGUGACGGUACCUGCAGAAGAAGCACCGGCUAACUACGUG
This 469-nucleotide ribosomal RNA is filed under the name uncultured bacterium. RNAcentral describes it as "partial 16S ribosomal RNA". It matches the Rfam family "Bacterial small subunit ribosomal RNA", at positions 28 to 507 of the family's 1533-position model. The record is from RNAcentral.